AAUAUUGGACACUGGGGGCAACCCUGAUCCAGCCAUGCCGCGUGUGUGAAGAAGGUCUUCGGAUUGUAAAGCACUCUAAGUUGGGAGGAAGGGUUGUAGAUUAAUACUCUGCAGUCUUGACGUUACCAACAGAAUACGCACCGGCUACCCCUGUGCCAGCAGCCGCGGUAAUACAGAGGGUGCAAGCGUUAAUCGGAAUUACUGGGCGUAAAGCGCGCGUAGGUGGUUUGUUAAGUUGGAAGUGAAAGCCCCGGGCUCAGCCUGGGAACUGCUUUCAAAACUGGCAAGCUAGAGUACGGUAGAGGGUAGUGGAAUUUCCUGUGUAGCGGUGAAAUGCGUAGAUAUAGGAAGGAACACCAGUGGCGAAGGCGACUACCUGGACUGAUACUGACACUGAGGUGCGAAAGCGUGGGGAGCAAAC
This 421-nucleotide ribosomal RNA is filed under the name uncultured bacterium. RNAcentral's name for it is "partial 16S ribosomal RNA". It matches the Rfam family "Bacterial small subunit ribosomal RNA", at positions 360 to 773 of the family's 1533-position model. The record is from RNAcentral.